GGGAUCGCCUCAGUAACGGCGAGUGAAGCGGCAACAGCUCAAAUUUCGAAAUCUGGCCCCUUCGGGGCCCGAGUUGUAAUUUGUAGAGAGUGUUUCGGGUGAGACCACGGUCUAAGUCCAUUGGAACAUGGCGUCAUAGAGGGUGAGAAUCCCGUAUGUGACCGUGGAUCGAGCCCAUGUGAAGCCUCUUCAACGAGUCGAGUUGUUUGGGAAUGCAGCUCAAAAUGGGUGGUAAAUUUCAUCUAAAGCUAAAUACUGGCUGGAGACCGAUAGCGCACAAGUAGAGUGAUCGAAAGAUGAAAAGCACUUUGGAAAGAGAGUCAAACAGUACGUGAAAUUGUUGAAAGGGAAGCGCUUGCAACCAGACCUGUCCGUAGGUGAUCAGCCGCUGUUUUCAGCGGUGCACUCGCUCUGCGAUCAGGCCAGCAUCGGUUUCGGCGGUCGGAUAAAGGCCUUGGGAAUGUAGCUUCCCUUCGGGGGAGUCUUAUAGCCCUCGGUGCCAUGCGGCCAGCCGGGACCGAGGACCGCGCUUCGGCUAGGAUGCUGGCGUAAUGGUUGUAA
Molecule: ribosomal RNA, 561 nt
Filed under: Montanelia aff. tominii SDL-2014
Lineage: Eukaryota; Fungi; Ascomycota; Lecanoromycetes; Lecanorales; Parmeliaceae
Description: eukaryotic LSU rRNA
Rfam family: Eukaryotic large subunit ribosomal RNA
Source: RNAcentral